RNAcentral lists this ribosomal RNA (238 nucleotides) under uncultured Bacillus sp. RNAcentral's name for it is "partial 16S ribosomal RNA". It matches the Rfam family "Bacterial small subunit ribosomal RNA", at positions 1145 to 1382 of the family's 1533-position model. Lineage: Bacteria; Bacillati; Bacillota; Bacilli; Caryophanales; Bacillaceae. The record is from RNAcentral.
CGAACUGCCGUUGACAAAACGGAGGAAGGUGGGGAUGACGUCAAAUCAUCAUGCCCCUUAUGUUCUGGGCUACACACGUGCUACAAUGGCCGGUACAGACGGACGCAAAGCCGCGAGGUGGAGCAAAUCCUAAAAAGCCGGUCUCAGUUCGGAUUGCAGGCUGCAAUUCGCCUGCAUGAAGUCGGAAUCGCUAGUAAUCGCAGGUCAGCAUACUGCGGUGAAUACGUUCCCGGGCCUU